GCCUCAGGACCUGGCUCCUGUGAUGGGAGGGGGGGAGAGAAACCUCCGCCGCGUCCAGGGGGCGUGUCUGGGCAGGGGCGGGGCUGACCCGAGACCUGGAGGAGGAAGAGGGGCAGGUGCAGCCGGGAGCUGCGGAGCUGGAGGGAGGAGGACGAGAGCCAGGCCCUCAGCCCGCUGUGACUCUCCUCAGCCUCCUCCCCCAGCCCGGGGUGGGGGCCGAUUGACUGUUUCCAGGCCCCCCCUCGGGUAGGGGGGCUGAAGAGCCCCCAGGUGGACCAUGGCGGUGAGAUUCCAGGUGGCUGACAUGGAGGAGCUGACCAUCUGGGAACAGCACACGGCCACGCUGUCCAAGGACCCCCGCCGGGGCUUUGGCAUUGCGAUCUCUGGAGGCCGAGACCGGCCCGGUGGAUCCAUGGUUGUGUCUGACGUGGUACCCGGAGGGCCGGCGGAGGGCAGGCUACAGACAGGCGACCACAUCGUCAUGGUGAACGGGGUUUCCAUGGAGAAUGCCACCUCCGCGUUUGCCAUUCAGAUACUCAAGACCUGCACCAAGAUGGCCAACAUCGUGAGUAGGCAGCCCCUGGCACGGCCGGCAUCUCUGACCCCAGCCUGGGUCGUGCCGCUGCGGGGGUUGUAAGCUGAGAGCAAGGAGUCAUCUUCUCAUCUUACAGUUUGGACAUUGAGGCCCAGAGAGAGACUGGUGUCCCCCAGGGCCACCC
Molecule: small RNA, 719 nt
Filed under: Pan troglodytes (chimpanzee)
Lineage: Eukaryota; Metazoa; Chordata; Mammalia; Primates; Hominidae
Description: retained intron
Source: RNAcentral